CGGACUCUGACUGCGCGGAGACCGCUGGACUCUGGUCGCGGCCUUAGUCCGCUGAUCCUCGCUUGGGUGCCCGCCCUUAGCGGCCCGGCGUUGAAUUCCGGGAAGUGGGAGCUUCAGGCUCGCUCCGUGCGGAGGCGGGGUUUUGUCAUGUUGCUAGGUUGGUGUUGAACUCCUGAGCUCGAGCGAUCCACCUGCCACUGCCUUCCAAAGUGCUGGAAUUACAGGCGUGAGCCACGGCGCCCGGUGGCCGAGGUUAAUAAUAAUUAAAAGUUUCUAAUCCCAUUGUUCAGUUAUUUGAUUUGGUGUAAAGGCGCACUUUCCAAGUCAGAUGAGUUUGUGGUAACAUACAUUCCCCAAAUAAUUAUUUUUCCCUUGUGGGAAAUAUUCCAGUUUUAGGCUACCAGCUGUUUAAACAGUUUGGUUCAAAUCCUUCAAAAAAAUCUCAAAACAUAACUCCACAUAUGUAUUUACUACAUAUUGAAGGGUGUAUUCACUUGGAGAAGUAGGAGAAAGCAAACAGAUGCCAAUGGCCUUUUUGAAAACAUGUAUCUAUCAGCAAUAAUUGAAUAGCAAAACGAAGUGGAACACUACCAUCCUUUGCAAUAUUAGAUAGUUUUAAUACUGGGUUGUGAGGAAUGAAAAGAUCAUACAAAUCGUCAUUUCUGAAGUCAUUUCUGAAGUCGUCAUUUCUGAACUGAGUGCUAAUUUUUCAUAUUAAGCUUUAUGUUAAUAUCCUUAAUGAGAGGAACUUCCUGUGCCCGUAAUUUCUCCAGAGAAACUAUUAACAUACACAGAAUGUUGUAAUCAGAAGUAUAGUUCAGUUAAUAAAGUCCUCAAUUACAACUCUGACAUUUUGUCAUUGUCUUAUGAAAAGAAUUACUGUAUAUACAGUCUAUUUUACGUUUUCCGGAAGCACGUCAGGCAGGUUUUUUGUUUUUUUACUACUAAUUGUGCCAUUGAAUAUGCUAUUCUGUCGUAUUGUGCCAUCAAACAUGCUAUUCGAAAAAAGAUCUUGCCCAAUUUGUAAUAAAAUAUUGAACAUUGGAGAUUUAGAUUUCGAGUAAAAUCAUACUUUAUUGCUUUGCAGAAGUACACAGUAGGUGG
Molecule: long non-coding RNA, 1104 nt
Filed under: Homo sapiens (human)
Lineage: Eukaryota; Metazoa; Chordata; Mammalia; Primates; Hominidae
Description: non-protein coding LINC02062:31
Source: RNAcentral